GACGAACGCUGGCGGCGUGCCUAAUACAUGCAAGUAGAACGCUGAAGGAGGAUCUUGCUUCUCUGGAUGAGUUGCGAACGGGUGAGUAACGCGUAGGUAACCUGCCUGUUAGUGGGGGAUAACUAUUGGAAACGAUAGCUAAUACCGCAUAAUAGCAGUUGUUGCAUGAUAACUGUUUGAAAGGUGCAAUUGCACCGCUACCAGAUGGACCUGCGUUGUAUUAGCUAGUUGGUGGGGUAACGGCUCACUAAGGCGACGAUACAUAGCCGCCCUGGGAGGGUGAUCGGCCACACUUGGACUGAGACACGGCCCAGAAGCCUACGGGAGGCAGCAGUAGGGAAUCUUCGGCAAUGGACGGAAGUCUGACCGAGCAACGCCGCGUGAGUGAAGAAGGUUGUCGGAUCCGAGAGCUCUGUUUUAAGGGAGGAACGCGAGUGAGAGUGGAAAGUACACACUGUGACGGUAUCUUACCAGAAAGGGACGGCUCACUACGUG
Molecule: ribosomal RNA, 495 nt
Filed under: uncultured bacterium
Lineage: Bacteria
Description: partial 16S ribosomal RNA
Rfam family: Bacterial small subunit ribosomal RNA
Source: RNAcentral